This 549-nucleotide ribosomal RNA is filed under the name uncultured Rhizophagus. RNAcentral's name for it is "SSU rRNA". It matches the Rfam family "Eukaryotic small subunit ribosomal RNA", at positions 548 to 1098 of the family's 1831-position model. Lineage: Eukaryota; Fungi; Glomeromycota; Glomeromycetes; Glomerales; Glomeraceae. The record is from RNAcentral.
UUGGAGGGCAAGUCUGGUGCCAGCAGCCGCGGUAAUUCCAGCUCCAAUAGCGUAUAUUAAAGUUGUUGCAGUUAAAAAGCUCGUAGUUGAAUUUCGGGGUCAGUAGGUUGGUCAUGCCACUGGUAUGUACUGGCCUCACUGAUUCCUCCUUCCUGAUGAGCCGUAAUGCCAUUAAUUUGGUGUUGCGAGGAAUCUGGACUGUUACUUUGAAAAAAUUAGAGUGUUUAAAGCAGGCUAACGCUUGAAUACAUUAGCAUGGAAUAAUGAAAUAGGACGUUCGAUCUUAUUUUGUUGGUUUCUAAGAUUGACGUAAUGAUUAAUAGGGAUAGUUGGGGGCAUUAGUAUUCAAUUGUCAGAGGUGAAAUUCUUGGAUUUAUUGAAGACUAACUACUGCGAAAGCAUUUGCCAAGGAUGUUUUCAUUAAUCAAGAACGAAAGUUAGGGGAUCGAAGACGAUCAGAUACCGUCGUAGUCUUAACCAUAAACUAUGCCGACUAGGGAUCGGAUGGUGUUAAUUUUUUAAUGACUCAUUCGGCGCCUUACGGGAAAC